This 253-nucleotide ribosomal RNA is filed under the name uncultured bacterium. RNAcentral's name for it is "partial 16S ribosomal RNA". It matches the Rfam family "Bacterial small subunit ribosomal RNA", at positions 524 to 776 of the family's 1533-position model. The record is from RNAcentral.
GACGAACCUUGCUAACGUUAUUCGGAAUUACUGGGCUUAAAGGGUUCGUAGGCGGUGCGGAAAGUCGGGUGUGAAAUCCCCCAGCUCAACUGGGGAAUUGCGCCUGAAACUACCGUGCUCGAGGAAGACAGAGGUACGCGGAACUUAGGGUGGAGCGGUGAAAUGCGUUGAUAUCCUAAGGAACACCGGUGGCGAAAGCGGCGUACUGGGUCUUAUCUGACGCUGAGGCACGAAAGCUAGGGUAGCGAACGGG